This 301-nucleotide ribosomal RNA is filed under the name uncultured bacterium. RNAcentral's name for it is "partial 16S ribosomal RNA". It matches the Rfam family "Bacterial small subunit ribosomal RNA", at positions 509 to 807 of the family's 1533-position model. The record is from RNAcentral.
CAGCCGCCGCGGGAAUACGUAGGGUGCGUGCGUUAAUCGGAAUUACUGGGCGUAAAGCGUGCGCAGGCGGUUCGUUAAGACAGAUGUGAAAUCCCCGGGCUUAACCUGGGAGCUGCAUUUGUGACUGGCGAGCUAGAGUAUGGCAGAGAGGGGUAGAAUUCCACGUGUAGCAGUGAAAUGCGUAGAGAUGCGGAGGAAUACCGAUGGCGAAGGCAGCCCCCUGGGCCAAUACUGACGCUCAUGCACGAAAGCGUGGGGAGCAAACAGGAUUAGAUACCCGAGUAGUCCCUGUCUCUUAUAC